GGCUGCCUGAAGCUAGUGAGUCGCGGCGCCGCGCACUUGUGGUUGGGUCAGUGCCGCGCGCCGCUCGGUCGUUACCGCGAGGCGCUGGUGGCCUUCAGGCUGGACGGCGCGGGUCAGCCCUGGUUUGCCGGCUUCUGGGUCUUUGAACAGCCGCGAUGUCGAUCUUCACCCCCACCAACCAGAUCCGCCUAACCAAUGUGGCCGUGGUACGGAUGAAGCGCGCCAGGAAGCGCUUCGAAAUCGCCUGCUACAAAAACAAGGUCGUCGGCUGGCGGAGCGGCUUGUGAGUAGCCCCCUCCCUCGGGCCUGGGCCUGGGCCUGAGCCGUCACCUCCGAGGCGGCCUGUCUCUGCCCAAGUCGAGUGAAUGGGCCAGGCUGGGGUGUUUGUUGGCCCGGGAGGAAAUGGAACAUUCCUGCUGUGAGCAUGAGACGUCGCUGUCCGAGCUUGGCGCCUAAGCCAAGGGUUUCUUUAUUUGGGAAAAAGACCUUGAUGAAGUUCUGCAGACCCACUCAGUGUUUGUAAAUGUUUCCUAAGGUCAGGUUGCCAAGAAGGAAGAUCUCAUCAGUGCGUUUGGAACAGAUGACCAAACUGAAAUCUAUUUUGACUAAAGGAGAAGUUCAAGUAUCAGAUAAAGACACACACAACUGGAGCAGAUGUUUAGGGACAUUGCAAUUAUUGUGGCAGACAAAUGUGUGACUCCUGAAACAAAGAGACCAUACACCGUGAUCCUUAUUGAGAGAGCCAUGAAGGACAUCCACUAUUUGGUGAAAACCAACAGGAGUACAAAACAGCAGGCUUUGGAAGUGAUAAAGCAGUUAAAAGAGAAAAUGAAGAUAGAACGUGCUCACAUGAGGCUUCAGUUCAUCCUUCCAGUGAAUGAAGGCAAGAAGCUGAAAGAAAAGCUCAAGCCACUGAUCAAGGUCAUAGAAAGUAAAGAUUAUGGCCAACAGUUAGAAAUCGUA
Molecule: long non-coding RNA, 963 nt
Organism: Homo sapiens (human)
Lineage: Eukaryota; Metazoa; Chordata; Mammalia; Primates; Hominidae
Gene: SBDSP1
Product: SBDS pseudogene 1
Source: Ensembl